UGGGGAAUAUUGCACAAUGGGCGGAAGCCUGAUGCAGCAACGCCGCGUGUGUGAAGAAGGCCUUCGGGUUGUAAAGCACUUUUGUUGGGGAAGAAAAGCAGUCAAUUAAUACCUGAUUGUUCUGACGGUACCCAAAGAAUAAGCACCGGCUAACUACGUGCCAGCAGCCGCGGUAAUACGUAGGGGGCAAGCGUUAAUCGGAAUUACUGGGCGUAAAGCGUGUGCAGGCGGGUCGGAAAGAGAGGCGUG
This 249-nucleotide ribosomal RNA is filed under the name uncultured Lysobacteraceae bacterium. RNAcentral's name for it is "uncultured Xanthomonadaceae bacterium partial 16S ribosomal RNA". It matches the Rfam family "Bacterial small subunit ribosomal RNA", at positions 355 to 596 of the family's 1533-position model. Lineage: Bacteria; Pseudomonadati; Pseudomonadota; Gammaproteobacteria; Lysobacterales; Lysobacteraceae. The record is from RNAcentral.